Molecule: long non-coding RNA, 225 nt
Filed under: Lathyrus oleraceus (garden pea)
Lineage: Eukaryota; Viridiplantae; Streptophyta; Magnoliopsida; Fabales; Fabaceae
Description: Pisum sativum (pea) long non-coding RNA (PSAT_LNC007493)
Source: RNAcentral
UUGACUAUGGUAAAUAUUGAUUUAAAAUAAAUGGAUUAAAAAUAUUUUGAGUUUAAAUGUGUUUUGGUAAAAAUUAAUUGAGUUUAAAUGUGUUUAGGUAAAAAUUAUUUUGGUCAAUUUAAGUUAACUACAUUCUCCUAUCAUUAUUAAAAGUAAAAAAAAAAAAAAAAUUUAGACUCAUUGAAUAAAUUAUGUAUUUGUACAUUAUUAUUAUAUAUCAGAUUU